RNAcentral lists this unclassified non-coding RNA (225 nucleotides) under Zea mays. RNAcentral describes it as "misc RNA Zm00001eb244730". The record is from RNAcentral. Lineage: Eukaryota; Viridiplantae; Streptophyta; Magnoliopsida; Poales; Poaceae.
UUGACGGCAUGGGGAGCUGAACUCGGCACAUCGCACCACAUUGGAACACAUCACACACGGUGGCAAUUCUGUGAAGCCCAAAGGUUCCAAGUCACCAUGAGAAAAUUGAAAUGUUCAACUGUAUCACUCAUCCAUAAGCAAUUACUUGUGUUGAAAUUUAUGAGAAGACAUAUGCCUCUGUUAAGUGUCAGGAUCUUUUUUGCUGGGAAGCCAAUUCCUUACUGA